RNAcentral lists this long non-coding RNA (1738 nucleotides) under Daphnia magna. RNAcentral's name for it is "uncharacterized LOC123467838, transcript variant X10". Lineage: Eukaryota; Metazoa; Arthropoda; Branchiopoda; Diplostraca; Daphniidae. The record is from RNAcentral.
CAUCACGCAUGCGCGAUAGUUCGUGAGCAGACGAACCACUGAAAGAGACUUGCGCAGUCUAGUUGCAUCCAGCCAAAUACUAGUAGAACCCGAAACAUUGUUUUGACAAGUUCUGUCAUGUUGGGUUUGCAGGUUUUCACAAAAGACCAAGGUGUUGCAGCUUUUAUUCCGUGUUUUUCUUGCUAUCAACAGUACAGGCUGACCAACGACAGUUUUAGCUACAAAUAUUUGACGCCUCGUCUUGCAACUAGCUGUUGAUAUUCUAGGUUUUUUAAAUUUAAAAUUGGAAUCAACUGUCUGAGAUGUCGUUACCCCUGGCAGACGGGAGGCGCUAACGUCUGCUAACGUCAAAAUUGUCUAUUUCCCCCCGUCAGCUAAGGAGUACAAAGUACCUAUAUUAUAGUCUUUCUUUUCCUCUUAGUGUCACCUUAGUUAGACUUGUAGUUACUUGUCUCAUCAUUCUGGAUUUACGCAACGACGACAUUUGGUGUUGCACGUUUCUUCGCUGUUUUAUUGUCCUUUGUAUAGAGCGUAAGUUCUUCUAAUAGACCAACAUAUCUGCGAGCAAGGAUCUGCUUAGGGACAGUGAGACAUCAGCGAAUACAACAACGGAACCAUAUCCAAAUUGUAGCACAAAACUUGUACAGCUGUGAUACCUCCCAAACACCUAUGCAGUUUUGAAUGCUUGUCAGGUGAAUGCAGAUUAAUGUAAAAGAUGUCAAAUGUUAGACAUGUGGAAAAGGCCUGAUAGGAUGUGUGGGCGCCUUUGGUAACAUAGAUUGGAACUUAUGAUUUUUCAUGUUGGCUACACCAAGGCAGUAAUAACUUUGCUGCAAACAAUCUGCAAAACAUGCUUGUCUGUCCAUCUCAGUGAUGAGAUGGCAAAUUUGUUGAGUAAAUCUGACUAAGGAAAAAUUGUUAGUUCCGCAGCUGGCAAGAAAUGAGAGGACGAUUGGUGAUGAGACAAUUUAUUCUAAUCGCUGUAACUCAUGGACACGUCGACAUUCGUGGUAAUCAAACUUAGAACGUCUGCAAUGCGAAAUUUUUCACCAAUAUAAAGGAAAGCUGCAAACAUAUUUUCAGCAUUUUUAAUAAAAAAAUAAGCGCGUUCAUUCCCUUCAACCAAUUGUCAACGCGAGGCCCCGUAGGAACCUUCCAUACGUCACUUUUAUUGUAGCUGACAGUGACUGUAAUUAUGGCUUACUUAGCCCAUGCUUAUCCAGAGCUGCCUUGUUGAUCCCCGCCCUAAAAACUAUCAUCUUCAAAAGCUUCCAGGUUUGUUGUGGUCGUAGAACAGCAGACGACGAAGUUCAAAGCGGCAUUGUACCAUCGGGCAGAAUCCAAACGGUUGAUGCAUUGAAAAUGUCGGAGCUCUGUUGAUGAAUUUUCACCAGCACUCUUCCACAAGACGCGCGCGAAGCAAACGAUAGCAAAGGAGAUAUGGACUUGAAUUGGUUGUUUACCACCCGUGGCUUUCCCGCAUCCCAGGAUUAGUCUUGUACACCUUUUGCACUUGUACAGAGCGUUCGGGAACGAAAUUAGUUGUGGAUGGGUUUGCUGUUGACAAGCAAGGGAAGGAUUUUUUUACCAAAGUAGACAGGAUAUUUAUUCUUAAUCCCACAAUGUCUUGACUACAAAUCAUGCUGAAUUAGAAUAGUAUGUUGAUCGAGGCUGGGUGCCAAAGCAAUGGAUGAUAAUUGUAAGCGCGAUUGGAAAUAUCCAUGAUUUAUUAACGUUC